Molecule: long non-coding RNA, 383 nt
Filed under: Homo sapiens (human)
Lineage: Eukaryota; Metazoa; Chordata; Mammalia; Primates; Hominidae
Description: non-protein coding lnc-FUT7-2:2
Source: RNAcentral
GGGCUGAGGUGGGCUGAGUGCCCACUUCCAGACUGGGCCACUGGCACCUCGAGGGCAUGGGGAGGACCCAGCGAUCCCCCCCCACCCAGGCAUAAAGAGCCACCCAAGGAGCUGGACACGGCCUCCUCGGAUGAGGAGAAUGAGGACGGAGACUUCACGGUGUACGAGUGCCCGGGCCUGGCCCCGACCGGGGAAAUGGAGGUGCGCAACCCUCUGUUCGACCACGCCGCACUGUCCGCGCCCCUGCCGGCCCCCAGCUCACCGCCUGCACUGCCAUGACCUGGAGGCAGACAGACGCCCACCUGCUCCCCGACCUCGAGGCCCCCGGGGAGGGGCAGGGCCUGGAGCUUCCCACUAAAAACAUGUUUUGAUGCUGUGUGCUU